UACGUAGGGUGCGAGCGUUAAUCGGAAUUACUGGGCGUAAAGCGUGCGUAGGUGGUUCGUUGUGUCUGUGGUGAAAGCCCCGGGCUUAACCUGGGAAUGGCCAUGGAAACUGGCGAGCUGGAGUCUGGCAGAGGGGGGUGGAAUUCCGCGUGUAGCAGUGAAAUGCGUAGAGAUGCGGAGGAACACCGAUGGCGAAGGCAGCCCCCUGGGCUAACACUGACGCUCAUGCACGAAAGCGUGGGGAGCAAACAGG
This 253-nucleotide ribosomal RNA is filed under the name uncultured bacterium. RNAcentral describes it as "partial 16S ribosomal RNA". It matches the Rfam family "Bacterial small subunit ribosomal RNA", at positions 524 to 776 of the family's 1533-position model. The record is from RNAcentral.